GAGGGCGUCCUGGCCCCCGGCUACCCCCGGCCCCUGGCCGAGCUCGGCCGCGGCGUCCCCGGUGACCGCCUGGACGCCGCCCUGCUCUGGCUGCCCAGCGGCCACACCUACCUCUUCCGGGGCGACAAGACCUGUCUGGGCUCUUUUUGGGGCUAUUUCUGCACCUUUCAGGACCUUUCUGCACCUUCCAGGACCUUUAUGCACCUUCCAGGACCUUUGUGAACCUUCUGGAACCUUCUGGGAAUUUCUGGGAAUUUUUCUGGAAUUUUUCUGGAAUUUUUGAGGCUUUUCAUGCAUCUUUCAGGACCUGUCUGGGCUCUUUUUGGGGCUAUUUCUGCACCUUUCAGGACCUUUCGGGAUCUUUCUGCACCUUCCUGGACCUUUCUGAACCUUCUGGAACCUCCGGGACCUUCCGGGAAUUUCUGGGAAUUUUUCUGGAAUUUUCGAGGCUUUUUAUGGA
This is a non-coding RNA of Lonchura striata (white-rumped munia), 460 nucleotides long. The record is from RefSeq and is a predicted model, not a curated record. NCBI's taxonomy places the organism in Eukaryota, Metazoa, Chordata, Aves, Passeriformes, Estrildidae.